Molecule: ribosomal RNA, 478 nt
Filed under: uncultured bacterium
Lineage: Bacteria
Description: bacterial SSU rRNA
Rfam family: Bacterial small subunit ribosomal RNA
Source: RNAcentral
UUUCGCAAUGCCCGAAAGGGUGACGAAGCGACGCCGCGUGGGUGAGGAAGGCCUUCGGGUUGUAAAGCCCUGUCAGGAGUUAAGAAAUGUAAGUGCGCUAAUAUCGCAUUUAUUUGACGAAGGCUCCAAAGGAAGUCACGGCUAACUCUGUGCCAGCAGCCGCGGUAAUACAGAGGUGGCAAGCGUUGUUCGGAAUUAUUGGGCGUAAAGAGCACGUAGGUGGGCUUGUAAGUCAGAUGUGAAAGCCUUCUGUUCAACGGAAGAAUUGCAUCUGAAACUGCGAGUCUUGAGUGUAGGAGGGGAGAAUGGAACUUCUGGUGGAGCGGUGAAAUGCGUAGAUAUCAGAAGGAACGCCGGCGGCGAAAGCGAUUCUCUGGCCUAUUACUGACACUCAGUGUGCGAAAGCUAGGGGAGCAAACGGGAUUAGAUACCCCGGUAGUCCUAGCCGUAAACGAUGGGCACUAAGUAGAGGGGUUUU